Molecule: RNA transcript, 1484 nt
Organism: Ananas comosus (pineapple)
Lineage: Eukaryota; Viridiplantae; Streptophyta; Magnoliopsida; Poales; Bromeliaceae
Exons: 8
Source: RefSeq, a predicted model, not a curated record
UCUUCUCCUCUCCUCUCCUCUCUUCUCCUCUCCUUUUCCACUCAAAACCCUAGUUUUUCCCCCAAAAAAAGAAACGAAAUCGCUCUCCCCCCAUUUCCUCUCGCGCUAGGGCUUACAUUUCCCCCCUAAUUCUCCAAUCGAUCGAGGCCUAGGGUUUCGGAGACGACGCGAAUCGCUCGUCGGUCGCACAAUUUUUAAUCAAGAACGUCACUUUUGAAGAAUGGCUUUUCGAGCUCCGGCCGUCGUUCAAAAUGAAAAUGUGCCCAUCAACAGAGGAAAAGCUGUCGAUGGGUUGAAGGCCGAUUUGCCGAAGCCGGCAAAGACCGGACUAAAGGAGAGAAAAGCUCUCGGAGAUCUUUCGAACACAAGGAAAGCUUUGAGGGAUCUCUCAAACACCGGGAAACCUCCGGUUUCUGGCGUAACAAAGGGCAGUGCUUUGAAAGAGAAGAGCGGAAUACGUGCCCCUCAGGCUGUUAAGAACGCCUCGAAGAGUAGUUUCCUGACCGAUGAAGACGUUAAGAAAUGUCGGGAGUGGGCGAAGGAAGGAAUCGAGCGGACCCAAUUCGCCGGAAAUGACGUUCAGGAAAUGCAAAAGGAACUUGUCGAUAAACGCGUCAAGAAGAAAGUUGACAAGGUAAUGUCUGCUGUGCAUGAGUGGUCAGGGUCAAUAUAUGAUCUUGUGCUUCCACUGAAGGAAGCUGCUGAGGAUACUGAUGAUGUGAAAAAGAUGGAAUUGGAACCGGAGGUUGCUCUUCCUCAUGUUGACAGAUGGCUCUCAAGAUCGAGUGACAAGCUUUUUGAUGAUCUUAUCGAAGCCGAGCUUGCUGAACUCCCAUUCAUCGAUCAUCCUGUUGAGUUCAAGCUGAAAGAUUUCUUGGAGUCAGGCAAGGAUGGUUCCAAGCCAGAGUGAUUUCGCGUGGACGGCAGUUUGGUGGCUACGGCUCGACUAACUCAGAAUUCAUGUUUAAGUACCGAGACGAUAUUUGUUACAAUUCAUUUCCUAAUGCGGCAAAAUCAGAAUUUGGUUGUAGUUAUACGGGCUCGGAGAUCAUUCACUUUCUGUAUUACAUAGAAGUUCGAAACUCUGACCUUAUGGUGGGUGCUUAAGCACACCAUCGCGCUGCAGUUUACUGCUCAAGAUAGGUACGGGCCGUGCCGUGCCACGAGGUCGUCCCCUGGACUAGCACUAGUACAAAUUUUUAAUUUUUUUUUUAAAAUAUUUUAAUGUUUUAAAAUAUAACCAAGACAAGGAACUUACUCAGAAAAGUCCUCACAAAUGAUGAUUGAGAUGAGAUUCAGCAUUUCAAAACCACGAAACGCUUGGUUUGCAUUCGGAUUGAAUGAAUACCAGAAUCUCUUAUUUUAUUUUAGCAUGCUAUAUUUGCUUUGCUCUUCUUUUUUGGACAAAUUUGGCAACCUUAUUGUCGCAUCGCUUCAUAAUAACUCUGUAAAGCUUACGCAAUAAUUUCCUUCGGAUUGAGCCA